RNAcentral lists this ribosomal RNA (497 nucleotides) under uncultured bacterium. Its description in RNAcentral is "partial 16S ribosomal RNA". It matches the Rfam family "Bacterial small subunit ribosomal RNA", at positions 28 to 507 of the family's 1533-position model. The record is from RNAcentral.
GAUGAACGCUGGCGGCGUGCCUAAUACAUGCAAGUCGAGCGAACGGACGAGAAGCUUGCUUCUCUGAUGUUAGCGGCGGACGGGUGAGUAACACGUGGAUAACCUACCUAUAAGACUGGGAUAACUUCGGGAAACCGGAGCUAAUACCGGAUGAUAUUUUGAACCGCAUGGUUCAAAAGUGAAAGACGGUCUUGCUGUCACUUAUAGAUGGAUCCGCGCUGCAUUAGCUAGUUGGUAAGGUAACGGCUCACCAAGGCAACGAUGCAUAGCCGACCUGAGAGGGUGAUCGGCCACACUGGAACUGAGACACGGUCCAGACUCCUACGGGAGGCAGCAGUAGGGAAUCUUCCGCAAUGGGCGAAAGCCUGACGGAGCAACGCCGCGUGAGUGAUGAAGGUCUUCGGAUCGUAAAACUCUGUUAUUAAGGAAGAACAUAUGUGUAAGUAACUGUGCACAUCUUGACGGUACCUAAUCAGAAAGCCACGGCUAACUACGUG